GAUUUAUAUAAGGUUGUGUAAUCCACAAAUACGCUCAUGUGCAUCAUCUCACUUUAGGAAGAACUCCUGAACAAUUGAUGAUAGAGUGAGCUGCCAGGCAUGUUUAAGCAUAGACUAAUGAAUCCACUAGACUAGAUGAACUUAAAGAUUGUGUCCAACUCAGGCUGUGAAUCAACCUAGAGGUGCUUCCAAGUCAGCUUCUAAACUGAGAGGAAACAGGGAACAAACGCAAUAACACCUGCAUCAAUUCAUCCUUGUGUGUCUCCGUUUAUACUUUUGAAAAAGGAAAAAAGUGAAAAGACAAGUUUGUCUUUACCACAUGGGGAACUGGUUGAGUUAGACAUCUCAUCCUUUAAGAUAUUCAAGGGGAUAUUGGCUGCCUGUCUUCCUGGGGAAUUCUGCACUGGGUAAGAAGAUGGACCACAUGCCCUGAGGUUCCUUCUAACACCAAGACUAAGGGAAAGCUGUAUUUUAUACUUGGCUCUACUACUUUCUACACUGACUUUGAGAGAGCCUUGUUUUUCACUCUCUGGACCUCAAUUAUCUUUCCUAUUACAGGAAGGUAUUGGACUCUGUGACCUUUAAGAGUUUUAGAGAACUCACAUUCUAAAAUUAUAAGAUUUUAUAAAGAAUAUGUGGAAGCUUCAUUCUUCCACAUUCUCUAAGAAAAAUUGAUCCUGAGUUCUGGUCCUAGUGAGAUUAUGGUGGCAGUGUAGUUUCUUAAUCUUUUCAAAACUCCUCCAGAAAACCAAACAGAAAAUUAGAAAUAGUGUAAAAAUAUGCCUAGAUUAUAUAUUUUUAAAUACUAGGUGAUAGGAAACAUCUCUAAACCCUACAGUACUGCUGUAGUCAAAACCACAUGUAGAAAUGGCACCUAAAGGCAAUCCGCUGUGGAGUCGUGGCAGCAACUGAGCAGGGUAGAAACACUGGGGUUCAGAUGGUGCGAGGUGGCAGAAACAGGAAAAGAGAGUGGUGGGCUCAAUGCAAACCUUUGACAAGCCCUGUAAGCUAUAGAACCCAAGAUCACCCAUGAAGACUCACCCUUAAAAGAAGGCCUAAUCUGGAAUAAAAAUCUGUGUGGACAAGCCUGAGAAUAACUGUGAAACUACUAUUCCGAUAUGCUCAGAGUUGCAAGUGAAAGCAGGAGCCUGCAGACAGCAUCACAAGAGACCUGAGAGUGAGGCAGUAGAGCAAACCCUGGAUGAUUGCCAAAAUAUCCAAUAAUAUCCUUUUCCAGAGGGGAAAACCGCCAGAAGCAGACACGUUGAGCCGGGCAGUAACUCUGGACAGUUGAGAUGCUUCUAAGGACUAGAUAAGGCAAACUGUGACGCAGAAAGAUAAUUAUGCAGACUGCUAGAGUUAUUGCUGGAAGUGCUUCAAGUUCUCAGCCUGAAAGUUGUCUUCACAGACCAUCGUACUCAUACUCUGACUUCUAGAUGGGGUAAUGGGGAAGCCAGAUUUCUAAACUGCUUUGCUGAUUUGAUCUGGGGCCCUGGAGUGCCAACAUCCUGUGAUAGCGGCUGAUUGUUGAUGCCUGGGAGGAUACAGCAGUGACGAUCCAAAUUUACAAGACUCAACAUGGUUUUCAAAACUUCCUUUUAAAAAAGAUGUUCCUGAGUUCUGGAAUCUGAACAAAAUAUGUCUGGUUAUUAUAUAAUUCUAAUGGUCCUUGUGGAUGCUACCAUUAGAGUUCAGUUAGUGUCUCAUCUAUCACUGUAAUAUUUGUAUUGUAACACUAAUCGUGGCAAAGUAUGAUUUGAUAAAUGCUCAUUCUCAAAUCUUUU
Molecule: long non-coding RNA, 1784 nt
Organism: Homo sapiens (human)
Lineage: Eukaryota; Metazoa; Chordata; Mammalia; Primates; Hominidae
Source: Ensembl